UUAUUGGUAGCAUAUAAGGAUAGCACGGUUUCAAUAACUGCUAUUAAAAGUAAAUUUAGAAAUUUUGGUACUUUGUAAUAGCUUUUGAAAAAUGCUAUGAUAAAAAAUCACUAAAUCAAAAGUUAAAAUAACUUAUUCCAUCGAUAUAUGCAAAAAAUUUCCUCUCCCUUUUAACACUUUUUUUGCAUAUAUCGAUGGAAUUUUUCUUCCCUUAAGCAUCGUGACCUAAAAUUUCUUUUUCCCCCAAAUUCUAAUUAGGGCAAUUUUUCGAGAUAAUCGGGAGAUGAGAUCUCCAUUGUCCUGACCUGAGAGACUCGCAAUAUUCUUUCAGAAGAGGAAGACUCAUGAGUAACGAAGAAUUGGAAGAGGCGGAUCUGGAUGAGACGACGGUCUGGAACUCCUAUGCAAAAAUUGGUUCAACGAAGAAGUGGAAGAGGCAGAUCUGGAUGAAGACGACGGUCCGUCCUCCUGCAAUCUCGCCGGUCUCCAUCGUCUUCUGUUAUGGUUUUUCAACAGGAUCCUCCGUCAUCGUAACACCAGCCAUAGACGUAAUCUUCUUCUUCUCUCUGGAUUUCAAUUAAUUAAAUCAUAUGGGUUUCAUAAAGUCUUGAUCAUUGCUUUGUAAAGUUUCUUUAAUGUGUUACAUGGAGAAGCAGUCACAUCAAUUGCAGAGAGACUAUCGAUGUCUUGUGUGAAAAUUGUUGUGUCUGAAUACAAACAGAUGUUCCUUGGUGAAUUGAUGUGAAUUUAGUGGUGAGGACUGCAGAGAAUCUAACCGUGGUGACAGUUGAGUUCAAGGAGACGAUGUAAGUAACUUACCUAUCUCCUGCUACUUACAUUGUUUAACUUUGCUAGGGCGGAUAAUGAGCAAGCCAUCUUCCUCUUGAAAGCUUUUCUUGUAUGAACUACACAUUGGUGAUUAUAAUGUCGAAGUUAUGGCUGAUACAAGUUUUGUCAAAAGUUGGAAUCCAAGAAGAUAAAGACAUACACAGAGCUGCAAUGUGAGUUUAUCCAUUUUUAAUGUUAUACAG
Non-coding RNA from Camelina sativa (false flax), 1031 nucleotides. The record is from RefSeq and is a predicted model, not a curated record. NCBI's taxonomy places the organism in Eukaryota, Viridiplantae, Streptophyta, Magnoliopsida, Brassicales, Brassicaceae.